This 1789-nucleotide long non-coding RNA is filed under the name Trifolium pratense (red clover). Its description in RNAcentral is "long non-coding RNA (TPRA_LNC004504)". Lineage: Eukaryota; Viridiplantae; Streptophyta; Magnoliopsida; Fabales; Fabaceae. The record is from RNAcentral.
AGAAAGAGUUGAGAGAAGGAGGAGCUAGAAAAAAGGGGUUUUAGAGAAAGAGAAGAAGAUGAACGAAGAGGAUGAAGAACAAGAGGAGAGGAGAGCUAGAGUUUGAAGAUAACCAUCAAAUUCUCCAUUUUUCAUGAGGUAAGGGAAGUUUUGUUCAUGGGUAGAGGUUGGUUGAUGAAGGGAGAGAAUGAAAUUCAUUCUCAUCUCCCAAGAUCCUUCAUCGCUCUUAUUGAUGCUUUAGAAUUCAUGUUUGAAUCCAUGUUAUCUUGUUGUGUUGUUUUGAGAAAAAUGAGUUUUUAUAUAAUUUAAUGAAUUAAUGAUGAUGAAUCUUGAUGAUUUGGUGUUGAUUGUUGAUGGAAUGAUGUUUGUUGAGGUUCAAAUAUCAUGAGUGUUGAUUAGUGAAGUCUUAGGACUAAUGGGAUUCAAAUUGGGUUUUUGGAAAAUCAAAGAUUGGAUUUUUAUAGUUUAAGAAAAACUGUUUUUGAUAAAGUCUGCAGCAAAAACGUGAAAAUUUGACCCCUUUGUGUUCUGAACUGGUUUUUGACGUCAACAUAAAAGUUGUAGCUCUUUCCCUUAGAUUUCCAACGCAUGUUUACGCGUUGAAAUCCGAUAUACGUAGCUCAACUUAUGGUCUGCGCGGUGAGCAGGUCAAAACCUGCAAAAUUCUGCAGGUGGAUGCUGUCUUUUGCGCCUCAUGCGCAAAGCUAGCGCAUCAUGCGCAAAUCACAGUCCUGCAACUCUGGUUUGCGUUGUUCUGUGAUGUUAGGUCUAUUUUGCCAAUCCCUUUUUAUCCCUAAUCUUUAUACUACUUAAUCAUAAUUAUUAGGUGAGUUUAGGAGAGUUUAAAUCACUACUUUUCAUGAUAAAACUUAGUGAUUAAUUAGGAGAAGUUGUUUUCGAAUUAAAACGAAUCUAGUAAAGAAUAAUUAAGAAUUUUGGGAAAUAUAGAGAAUGUAGUUGAGUGGAUUAGCUAAAUUAUUUUAUCUAAUCUUCGAAAAGAUAAUGGUGAUGAAUAUAUGAAUGAAACUAAAUUGAUGUGUUAGUUAAUGUAUUUAAUUGAUAAACUUUAUUUGUGAGUUUAUUGAUGAAGUGUUAUUGACGUGGAUUAUUGAUGAAUUCUAUUCGUGUACUAAAUGAUGAAUUUUAUUGGUGUAUGAAUUCUCUUGGUGUAUUAGUGAUGUGUUCGUGCGUAUGCACAAUGAAGGUGUUUUCAUGCUUAUGCACAAUGUCGAGGUGUGAUUGUUCAUGAAUAUAACUAGGAUGUUCAAUUUAUUGAUGAUGAUAAAUAAGGAUUUAUCAUGCGUAGGUGUAUUCUAAAGACGAUAAUUUAGAAUAUUUGGAUUAUGUUAUCCAUAUUAUGUUGAUGUUGUAGUUGAGAUAAAACCAUAUAUUUGGUAUAUGCACAUUCAUGCAUUCAUAAGUUGUGUUUAUUGAUGAGUAUUCUAGAGACGAUGAUCUAGUUUACUGUUGUUUUAGAGACGAUGAUGUAAAACAUUUGGAAUAAGUUUUCCAAAAUUAUGAUGAUGGGUACCACAUGCAUAUAGGCCGUAUUUAGGAAGACAUUGCAUACUUAAUUUCAAUAGAUGAAAUGUUGUAUGAUUGAUUUAAUUAAUUGAUUAGUGAUGUGUAAAUUGAGGUGUUGAUUAAAUGGUAUAAAUGUUGCAUGAAUUAUUAAUGUGAUAUAAUCAUGUUUAUACCUUGUUGUAUAUUUCCUUUUUUUUUUGCUCAUUACAUAAACUCACCCUGUUAUUUGUUAUUUGACUGGGCACUUGGGAACUCAAUUUCUCAG